UACAUGUGGGGCAAGCGUUGUUCGGAAUCACUGGGCAUAAAGGGUGCGUAGGCGGCUUGUUAAGUCAGGGGUGAAAUCCCACGGCCCAACCGUGGAACUGCCUUUGAAACUGGCGAGCUGGAGUGCGUGAGGGGUAACCGGAACGAGUCGUGUAGCGGUGAAAUGCGUAGAUAUGACUCGGAAGGCCAAAGGCGAAGGCAGGUUACUGGUACGCAACUGACGCUGAAGCACGAAAGCGUGGGGAGCAAACAGG
This 253-nucleotide ribosomal RNA is filed under the name uncultured bacterium. Its description in RNAcentral is "partial 16S ribosomal RNA". It matches the Rfam family "Bacterial small subunit ribosomal RNA", at positions 524 to 776 of the family's 1533-position model. The record is from RNAcentral.